GGGUUUAAUUCGAUGAUACGCGAGGAACCUUACCCGGGCUUGAAUUGCAGAGGAAGGAUUUGGAGACAAUGACGCCCUUCGGGGCCUCUGUGAAGGUGCUGCAUGGUUGUCGUCAGCUCGUGCCGUGAGGUGUCGGCUUAAGUGCCAUAACGAGCGCAACCCCUCUCCUUAGUUGCCAUCAGGUCAGGCUGGGCACUCUGGGGACACUGCCACCGUAAGGUGUGA
RNAcentral lists this ribosomal RNA (225 nucleotides) under uncultured bacterium. RNAcentral describes it as "partial 16S ribosomal RNA". It matches the Rfam family "Bacterial small subunit ribosomal RNA", at positions 943 to 1167 of the family's 1533-position model. The record is from RNAcentral.